Long non-coding RNA from Oncorhynchus tshawytscha (Chinook salmon), 311 nucleotides. NCBI's taxonomy places the organism in Eukaryota, Metazoa, Chordata, Actinopteri, Salmoniformes, Salmonidae. The record is from Ensembl.
CAUCACUAACACACAGGUAACCACAGACACGGUGCAUCACUAACACUCAGGUAACCACAGACACGGUGCAUCACUAACACUCAGAUGACCACAGACACGGUGCAUCACUAACACUCAGGUAACCACAGACACGGUGCAUCACUAACACUCAGGUAACCACAGACACUGUGCAUCACUAACACACAGGUAACCACAGACACGGUGCAUCACUAACACACAGGUAACCACAGACACGGUGCAUCACUAACACUCAGGUAACCACAGACACGGUGCAUCACUAACACACAGGUAACCACAGACACGGUGCAUCA